Long non-coding RNA from Lutra lutra (Eurasian river otter), 386 nucleotides. RefSeq lists it as uncharacterized. The transcript has 3 exons. The record is from RefSeq and is a predicted model, not a curated record. Lineage: Eukaryota; Metazoa; Chordata; Mammalia; Carnivora; Mustelidae.
UUCUUUAUCUAGGACAAGUUUGGAUUAGAAACAUCUGACCAACAGCAGAAACAGUCCUAUCAGCACUGAGUGUUGGUGCUGUGCUGAGCAGCCUUGACCACGUUUUGACAGAGAGCUGUCCCAUGGCACAACUGAAAGUUUGAUGACCAUACCCUCCCCCUCUGCAUGAGGAAGGUGAGAGGGUGCUGCAAGGCAGAGCUUCCCAACCAUUAGAGAUGUCUCUGCUACAGUCACCACUUUGGCUGGUAAGCAGUGCUGCUGAAAAGAAAUCAUGACCUGAGGUUGCAACUGGUGGUUUUGCCAAAGAAGAAAGUCCAGCCAACUUCAAGGCCCACAGUGAUAUUCCAGAAGCCUGCAUGGGUCAGGUGGAGAAGAGGAACAAAGCA